Molecule: long non-coding RNA, 584 nt
Filed under: Homo sapiens (human)
Lineage: Eukaryota; Metazoa; Chordata; Mammalia; Primates; Hominidae
Description: HSALNT0078944
Source: RNAcentral
CGGACUUAGUCCAUUAUCUGCAAGUGAAUUUCGAUGUUCCAUAUGUUUAUUUUCUGAAAUGUUCAUUAACGCUUCCACCGCGCCCACUGAAUCGUUCUAUAAACGUGGAGUGCAUGUUGACAGUUACCUUUCGAGACGCGCCCUUUUAUGUCUAUCUUUCGUUGCCCCUCACUCACUCUCCAAUAAUUUGCAGGCCCCAGAAGUUGUACGUACCCAGAAUUGGAUAGCCUAGUAAAUACUGCACGUGGUUAUACAAACCCUGAGUCAACAGAUGCGUUUUGUGUCAACUCAGGAUCCAGUGAUUCGAGUAGGUAACCUUGUUGCUCCAAAUAAUGGCAUGCCAUAAGGAGAUACUGCUUUAGAACUCCACAUUUUUGGUCCAAUUUCUACAGUCUUUUAGAUGAUGCCAACUCCCCCGCACUUAACUCUUACCUACCUGAUCUGCAUAGACAUUGAAAAUAUCUUCUUGCAAGAGUCAACUUUUCUCUUGGCUAACUCUUGAAGCUGCAUAAAAUCUUGCAUAAUUACUAUAAUGUUGAGUUACGUUUAGAAAAAAUGAUUUUUUUUUGAGGAAUAAAUUUCAC